This 432-nucleotide ribosomal RNA is filed under the name uncultured bacterium. RNAcentral's name for it is "bacterial SSU rRNA". It matches the Rfam family "Bacterial small subunit ribosomal RNA", at positions 29 to 507 of the family's 1533-position model. The record is from RNAcentral.
AAUGAACGCUGGCGGCAGGCCUAACACAUGCAAGUCGAGCGCCCCCGCAAGGGGAGCGGCGGACGGGUGAGUAACGCGUGGGAACGUACCCCUUUCUACGGAAUAGCCUCGGGAAACUGGGAGUAAUACCGUAUAAGCCCUACGGGGGAAAGAUUUAUCGGGAAGGGAUCGGCCCGCGUUGGAUUAGGUAGUUGGUGGGGUAAUGGCCUACCAAGCCGACGAUCCAUAGCUGGUUUGAGAGGAUGAUCAGCCACACUGGGACUGAGACACGGCCCAGACUCCUACGGGAGGCAGCAGUGGGGAAUCUUAGACAAUGGGCGCAAGCCUGAUCUAGCCAUGCCGCGUGAGCGAUGAAGGCCUUAGGGUUGUAAAGCUCUUUCAGUGGGGAAGAUAAUGACUGUACCCACAGAAGAAGCCCCGGCUAACUCCGUG